This 327-nucleotide ribosomal RNA is filed under the name uncultured eukaryote. RNAcentral describes it as "partial 18S ribosomal RNA". It matches the Rfam family "Eukaryotic small subunit ribosomal RNA", at positions 1470 to 1796 of the family's 1831-position model. The record is from RNAcentral.
CCCUUAGAUGUUCUGGGCCGCACGCGCGCUACACUGACGAAUGCAACGAGCUUAUAACCUUGGCCGAAAGGUCUGGGUAAUCUCCAAAUUUCGUCGUGAUGGGGAUAGAUUAUUGCAAUUAUUAAUCUUCAACGAGGAAUGCCUAGUAAGCGCAAGUCACCAGCUUGCGUUGAUUACGUCCCUGCCCUUUGUACACACCGCCCGUCGCUCCUACCGAUUGAAUGGUCCGGUGAAGCGCUCGGACCGCGGCCUCUUGACGGUUCGCUGUCGAUUGGCUGUGGGAAGUUCGUUAAACCUUAUCAUUUAGAGGAAGGAGAAGUCGUAACA